Molecule: ribosomal RNA, 254 nt
Filed under: uncultured bacterium
Lineage: Bacteria
Description: partial 16S ribosomal RNA
Rfam family: Bacterial small subunit ribosomal RNA
Source: RNAcentral
UACGAAGGGGGGCUAGCGUUGUUCGGAUUUACUGGGCGUAAAGCGCACGUAGGCGGAUUGGUCAGUUAGGGGUGAAAUCCUGGAGCUCAACUCCAGAACUGCCCUUAAUACUGCCAGUCUCGAGUCCGGAAGAGGUAAGUGGAACUCCUAGUGUAGAGGUGGAAUUCGUAGAUAUUAGGAAGAACACCAGUGGCGAAGGCGGCUUACUGGUCCGGUACUGACGCUGAGGUGCGAAAGCGUGGGGAGCAAACAGG